Molecule: unclassified non-coding RNA, 197 nt
Filed under: Trametes hirsuta
Lineage: Eukaryota; Fungi; Basidiomycota; Agaricomycetes; Polyporales; Polyporaceae
Description: ITS1
Source: RNAcentral
AAGGAUCAUUAACGAGUUUUGAAACGGGUUGUUGCUGGCCUUCCGAGGCAUGUGCACGCCCUGCUCAUCCACUCUACACCUGUGCACUUACUGUAGGUUGGCGUGGGUUUCUAGCCUCCGGGCUGGGAGCAUUCUGCCGGCCUAUGUACRCUACAAACUCUAAAGUAUCAGAAUGUAAACGCGUCUAACGCAUCUUA